UUGGAGGGCAAGUCUGGUGCCAGCAGCCGCGGUAAUUCCAGCUCCAAUAGCGUAUAUUAAAGUUGUUGCAGUUAAAAAGCUCGUAGUUGAAUUUCGGGGUCAGCAGGUUGGUCGUGCCUCUGGUACGCACUGGCUUCGCUGAUUCCUCCUUUCUGAAGAACUGUAAUGUCAUUAAUUUGGUGUUGCAGGGAAACAGGACUGUUACUUUGAAAAAAUUAGAGUGUUUAAAGCAAGCUAACGCUUGAAUACAUUAGCAUGGAAUAAUGAAAUAGGACGUUUGAUCCUAUUUUGUUGGUUUCUAGGAUUGACGUAAUGAUUAAUAGGGAUAGUUGGGGGCAUUAGUAUUCAAUUGUCAGGGGUGAAAUUCUUGGAUUUAUUGAAGACUAACUACUGCGAAAGCAUUUGCCAAGGAUGUUUUCAUUAAUCAAGAACGAAAGUUAGGGGAUCGAAGACGAUCAGAUACCGUCGUAGUCUUAACCAUAAACUAUGCCGACUAGGGAUCGGAUGAUGUUAAUUUUUUAAUGACUCAUUCGGCGCCUUACGGGAAAC
Molecule: ribosomal RNA, 549 nt
Filed under: uncultured Glomeromycotina
Lineage: Eukaryota; Fungi; Glomeromycota
Description: SSU rRNA
Rfam family: Eukaryotic small subunit ribosomal RNA
Source: RNAcentral